GCAAGUCGAGGGGUAACAGGAGUGCUUGCACUCGCUGACGACCGGCGCACGGGUGCGUAACGCGUAUAGAAUCUACCUUUUACAGGGGGAUAGCCUUUAGAAAUGAAGAUUAAUAUCCCAUAGCAUUGCGAAAUGGCAUCAUUUUGUAAUUAAAGAUUUAUCGGUAAAAGAUGACUAUGCGUCCUAUUAGCUAGAUGGUAAGGUAACGGCUUACCAAGGCCACGAUGUCUAGGGGUUCUGAGAGGAUGAUC
This 251-nucleotide ribosomal RNA is filed under the name uncultured bacterium. RNAcentral describes it as "partial 16S ribosomal RNA". It matches the Rfam family "Bacterial small subunit ribosomal RNA", at positions 57 to 305 of the family's 1533-position model. The record is from RNAcentral.